This 466-nucleotide ribosomal RNA is filed under the name uncultured bacterium. Its description in RNAcentral is "partial 16S ribosomal RNA". It matches the Rfam family "Bacterial small subunit ribosomal RNA", at positions 28 to 507 of the family's 1533-position model. The record is from RNAcentral.
GAUGAACGCUGGCGGCGUGCUUAACACAUGCAAGUCGAACGGAAAGGCUCCUUCUUGCAUGGGUACUCGAGUGGCGAACGGGUGAGUAACACGUGGGUGAUCUGCCCUGCACUUCGGGAUAAGCCUGGGAAACUGGGUCUAAUACCGGAUAUGACGAUUGUUUGGAUGCCAUUGUGGAAAGUUUUUUCGGUGUGGGAUGGGCUCGCGGCCUAUCAGCUUUUUCGUGGGGUAAUGGCCUACCAAGGCGUCGUCGGGUAGCCGGCCUGAGAGGGUGUGCGGACACAUUGGGACUGAGAUACGGCCCAGACUCCUACGGGAGGCAGCGGUGGGGAAUAUUGCACAAUGGGCGGAAGCCUGAUGCAGCGACGCCGCGUGGGGGAUAACGGCCUUCGGGUUGUAAACUCCUUUCGCUAGAGACGAAGCGAAAGUGACGGUACCUGGAGAAGAAGCACCGGCUAACUACGUG